UACGUAGGUGGCAAGCGUUGUCCGGAUUUAUUGGGCGUAAAGCGAGCGCAGGCGGUUGCUUAGGUCUGAUGUGAAAGCCUUCGGCUUAAUCGAAGAAGUGCAUCGGAAACCGGGCGACUUGAGUGCAGAAGAGGACAGUGGAACUCCAUGUGUAGCGGUGGAAUGCGUAGAUAUAUGGAAGAACACCAGUGGCGAAGGCGGCUGUCUGGUCUGCAACUGACGCUGAGGCUCGAAAGCAUGGGUAGCGAACAGG
This 253-nucleotide ribosomal RNA is filed under the name uncultured bacterium. RNAcentral's name for it is "partial 16S ribosomal RNA". It matches the Rfam family "Bacterial small subunit ribosomal RNA", at positions 524 to 776 of the family's 1533-position model. The record is from RNAcentral.